Non-coding RNA from Podarcis lilfordi (Lilford's wall lizard), 77 nucleotides. The record is from the annotation of a GenBank genome assembly. NCBI's taxonomy places the organism in Eukaryota, Metazoa, Chordata, Lepidosauria, Squamata, Lacertidae.
GGGAAUGGCCAUAGCUCAGUGGCAGAGCUCUUGCCUUGCAUGUAGAAGGUCCCAGGUUCAAUUCCCCAGCAUCUUCA